RNAcentral lists this ribosomal RNA (351 nucleotides) under uncultured bacterium. Its description in RNAcentral is "bacterial SSU rRNA". It matches the Rfam family "Bacterial small subunit ribosomal RNA", at positions 8 to 350 of the family's 1533-position model. The record is from RNAcentral.
AGAGUUUGAUCCUGGCUCAGGAUGAACGCUAGCUACAGGCUUAACACGUGCAAGUCGAGGGGAAACGACAUCGAAAGCUUGCUUUUGAUGGGCGUCGACCGGCGCACGGGUGAGUAACGCGUAUCCAACCUGCCCACCACUUGGGGAUAACCUUGCGAAAGUAAGACUAAUACCCAAUGACGUCUCUAGAAGACAUCUGAAGGAGAUUAAAGAUUUAUCGGUGAUGGAUGGGGAUGCGUCUGAUUAGCUUGUUGGCGGGUAACGGCCACCAAGGCGACGAUCAGUAGGGGUUCUGAGAGGAAGGUCCCCCACAUUGGAACUGAGACACGGUCCAAACUCAUACGGGAGGCA